UUGGUAGAGGCGCGGGGUUCAUCAGUACCGUUCCGCCACAGCCCGGCAGGCUGCGGAGCGGGAAAGGGGACACCGCCGAAGGGGCGCUUUGGCCGAAGGCGCCGCCUGGGGCGACGCAGAAGAUGCGGCGCACUGUCACAAGAACUGUGAAGCGCUAUCG
This 160-nucleotide non-coding RNA is filed under the name uncultured Anaerofilum sp. RNAcentral describes it as "Lysine riboswitch". It matches the Rfam family "Lysine riboswitch aptamer". From Rfam's summary of the family: Riboswitches are metabolite binding domains within certain messenger RNAs that serve as precision sensors for their corresponding targets. Allosteric rearrangement of mRNA structure is mediated by ligand binding, and this results in modulation of gene expression. This family includes riboswitches that sense lysine in a number of genes involved in lysine metabolism, including lysC. Lineage: Bacteria; Bacillati; Bacillota; Clostridia; Eubacteriales; Oscillospiraceae. The record is from RNAcentral.